GACGAACGCUGGCGGCGUGCUUAACACAUGCAAGUCGAACGGUGAAGCUCCAGCUUGCUGGAGUGGAUCAGUGGCGAACGGGUGAGUAACACGUGAGCAACCUGCCCCUGACUCUGGAAUAAGCGCUGGAAACGGCGUCUAAUACUGGAUACGAGAAGGGUCCGCAUGGGCACUUUCUGGAAAGUUUUUCGGUUGGGGAUGGGCUCGCGGCCUAUCAGCUUGUUGGUGAGGUAAUGGCUCACCAAGGCGACGACGGGUAGCCGGCCUGAGAGGGCGACCGGCCACACUGGGACUGAGACACGGCCCAGACUCCUACGGGAGGCAGCAGUGGGGAAUAUUGCACAAUGGGCGAAAGCCUGAUGCAGCGACGCCGCGUGAGGGAUGACGGCCUUCGGGUUGUAAACCUCCUUCAGCAGGGAAGAAGCGAAAGUGACGGUACCUGCAGAAGAAGCACCGGCUAACUACGUG
This 468-nucleotide ribosomal RNA is filed under the name uncultured bacterium. Its description in RNAcentral is "partial 16S ribosomal RNA". It matches the Rfam family "Bacterial small subunit ribosomal RNA", at positions 28 to 507 of the family's 1533-position model. The record is from RNAcentral.